UUCCAGACUCCUACGGGAGGCAGCAGUGAGGAAUAUUGGUCAAUGGCCGGAAGGCUGAACCAGCCAAGCCGCGUGAGGGAGGAAGGCGCAGAGCGUCGCAGACCUCUUUUGCCGGGGGACAAAAGGCCGGACUCGUCCGGUCCUGAGGGUACCCGGAGAAAAAGCAUCGGCUAACUCCGUGCCAGCAGCCGCGGUAAUACGGAGGAUGCGAGCGUUAUCCGGAUUUAUUGGGUUUAAAGGGUGCGCGGGCGGUCUGUUAAGUCAGGGGUAAAAUGUCGGGGCUCAACCCCGGCCUGCCGUUGAAACUGGCGGCCUCGAGUGGGCGAGAAGUAUGCGGAAUGCGUGGUGUAGCGGUGAAAUGCAUAGAUAUCACGCAGAACUCCGAUUGCGAAGGCAGCAUACCGGCGCCCGACUGACGCUGAGGCACGAAAGCGUGGGUAUCGAACAGGAUUAGAUACCCCAGUA
This 465-nucleotide ribosomal RNA is filed under the name uncultured bacterium. RNAcentral's name for it is "bacterial SSU rRNA". It matches the Rfam family "Bacterial small subunit ribosomal RNA", at positions 329 to 792 of the family's 1533-position model. The record is from RNAcentral.